CCUAGAAACCUCGCCAGACUCUCACCGUCCACCCCAUCAUAUUCAUACCCUUCAAUCGAUCCGUCAACAACGCCGCCCUCCUCUGCCACCAUCAACCCACGCCCGUCCUCAUUUGAACCCCACGCGCCUCCCUUUCCCGCUUGAAAAAACUCACAAAACCCAUCAAUGCCACAGGACUUUCCAACAUUUAGAAUCCCACCCAUGUCUACGCUGGCCAUGACCGACGACUCCCAGUCAGAGAAAGAAGAGCCACAGCUCUCCUCGUUGCCGUUGAUGGUGAUGUAAGAAGAAGAAGACUGAAAAAUCAAAGGUGAAGAGUAGGGAUUUUCAAUGAACUUGACCCUUGUAGUACUAGUACAAGUUGCAGAAGCUCCUUCAGGGUGCGUGUCAAGAAACUUCAUGAGUUCAUCUAUGGUUUCAUCAUCCAUUGAAAGCCAAGCUAAAAUAUCCUCACCCAGAUCGCCGGAAGUGUCAGGAAGCGUCCGAGUCGGAGACUUUUUGAAGGCCAAGUCGCCCCCAUCAUCAAACCCUUCUCUCUUUCUGGGAUCCUCCAUGAGUUUGAGAUGAGAAAAGGAAAAGAAAAAAAGAAGAAGAAGAAGACGACGACUGCAGAGUGAAAGAGCCGUAUGGUUUGUUAGGUUCUAUAAAUACUCUUUGUCUCUUCUUGUAUAAGAGCACGCAUCA
RNAcentral lists this unclassified non-coding RNA (684 nucleotides) under Hevea brasiliensis (rubber tree). The record is from RNAcentral. Lineage: Eukaryota; Viridiplantae; Streptophyta; Magnoliopsida; Malpighiales; Euphorbiaceae.